Molecule: ribosomal RNA, 254 nt
Filed under: uncultured bacterium
Lineage: Bacteria
Description: partial 16S ribosomal RNA
Rfam family: Bacterial small subunit ribosomal RNA
Source: RNAcentral
CACGUAGGGGGCAAGCGUUGUCCGGAUUUAUUGGGCGUAAAGAGCUCGUAGGCGGUUCGGUAAGUCGGGUGUGAAACCUCCAGGCUCAACCUGGAGACGCCACCUGAUACUGCUGUGACUCGAGUCCGGUAGGGGAGCGUGGAAUUCCUGGUGUAGCGGUGAAAUGCGCAGAUAUCAGGAGGAACACCAGCGGCGAAGGCGGCGCUCUGGGCCGGAACUGACGCUGAGGAGCGAAAGCCAGGGGAGCAAACGGG